ACGCUGGCGGCGUGCCUAAUACAUGCAAGUCGAACGGAGAUUAAGUAGCUUGCUAUUUAAUCUUAGUGGCGCACGGGUGAGUAAUAUAUAGCUAACUUGCCCAUUACUAAGGGACAACAGUUGGAAACGACUGCUAAUACCUUAUACUCCGUAUCUAUAUAAGUAGAUACGGGAAAGUUUUUCGGUAAUGGAUAGGGCUAUAUCGUAUCAGCUAGUUGGUAAGGUAAUGGCUUACCAAGGCUAUGACGCGUAACUGGUCUGAGAGGAUGAUCAGUCACACUGGAACUGAGACACGGUCCAGACUCCUACGGGAGGCAGCAGUAGGGAAUAUUGCUCAAUGGGGGAAACCCUGAAGCAGCAACGCCGCGUGGAGGAUGACACUUUUCGGAGCGUAAACUCCUUUUCUUGGGAAAGAAUUAUGACGGUACCCAAGGAAUAAGCACCGGCUAACUCCGUGCCAGCAGCCGCGGUAAUACGGAGGGUGCAAGCGUUACUCGGAAUCACUGGGCGUAAAGGACGCGUAGGCGGAUUAUCAAGUCUCUUGUGAAAUCUAACGGCUUAACCGUUAAACUGCUUGGGAAACUGAUAAUCUAGAGUAAGGGAGAGGCAGAUGGAAUUCUUGGUGUAGGGGUAAAAUCCGUAGAGAUCAAGAAGAAUACCCAUUGCGAAAGCGAUCUGCUGGAACUUAACUGACGCUAAUGCGUGAAAGCGUGGGGAGCAAACAGGAUUAGAUACCCUGGUAGUCCACGCCCUAAACGAUGUAUACUAGUUGUUGCUUCGCUAGUCGGGGCAGUAAUGCACCUAACGGAUUAAGUAUACCGCCUGGGGAGUACGGUCGCAAGAUUAAAACUCAAAGGAAUAGACGGGGACCCGCACAAGCGGUGGAGCAUGUGGUUUAAUUCGAAGAUACGCGAAGAACC
This 920-nucleotide ribosomal RNA is filed under the name uncultured bacterium. Its description in RNAcentral is "bacterial SSU rRNA". It matches the Rfam family "Bacterial small subunit ribosomal RNA", at positions 33 to 970 of the family's 1533-position model. The record is from RNAcentral.